Molecule: long non-coding RNA, 438 nt
Organism: Galeopterus variegatus (Sunda flying lemur)
Lineage: Eukaryota; Metazoa; Chordata; Mammalia; Dermoptera; Cynocephalidae
Exons: 4
Source: RefSeq, a predicted model, not a curated record
UUUUACAGUGGUUCUAGAGUGAGAGAAAUAGGAUAAAUUUCCCUUGUUCAGGAAAAGGCAGAGGCAAGGAUUAACUUAAAGAUGCUUAAGAAUAAUGUUUCUGACCAUAAGCUGAACAUGGAAGCCCUAAUUAAAAACAUUAACACAGUUUCUUUGGAGUUGAAGAAGAUGAAAGAUUUGCAUCACAAGCAAAUGCCUACAGCAACCACUGCUAAAGGGAAUGGGACUGCCAAGACCAGUUUGGACCAGUCAGAAUUUACUGCUGGAGCUGGGGAGAAGAGCACCUCAAAUGGAAUCAAGUUGUGCCACCAAGAAGAAGAGGGGAGUGGCUGUUAGUUAGGUACCAAAUAAGCUCUCCCAGUUACUCCUUUGUGACCUUACUCUACAUUUUAAUCAUCCUGUGAAGACAGAGGAUUUACCUGAAACAGAGAAGAACGA